This 4440-nucleotide long non-coding RNA is filed under the name Medicago truncatula (barrel medic). RNAcentral describes it as "long non-coding RNA (MTRU_LNC005850)". Lineage: Eukaryota; Viridiplantae; Streptophyta; Magnoliopsida; Fabales; Fabaceae. The record is from RNAcentral.
GUAUAAUACACUUGCAUAUUUUUAUUCUAUAUUGCAGUUUACCUUAAUAUGGAAACCACAGUCACAGCCGUAUACACGGACACACUACUAGUCUUGAAGGUACAUAAAACUACAGGUUGAUACACACACAUAAAAGCAAAUAUUACAGUACACUUGCAACAACAUAAUAAGAAUUAGCACAAGCUGCCAAUCUUCCUUACAAAGUUAUUAAUUUAGAGAAUAUUCAAUACUAAUUGGUGAAGGGUGUAUGGUGGAACUUGCACUUCAACAGUACCUUCAAGCAGGGCCGUCUCUGAGAAUUCGGAGGCUCGGCUCUGGAAAUGAAAAGAGGCCAGUGAUAAAAUCAAAACAUAAUUUUUUUUAAAAGAGCAAUAUACUAUUUAUAUUUUUUAAAAGAUAAAUACAAGGUGCCGUAUAUAUGCGGUACACCUAGAGAUGAAAAUGACUACCGUAUACACGAGGAACCCUCACCUAACACCAAAAUCAAGAGGAACUAAUUCUAAUAAUCCUAAAAGAGGCCCAUCCUUGUGAGGGAAUGAAAUAAUCUUAGGGGGCCUAAGAGAUAUUAAGGGGGCCUAAAAAGAAACCACCAUUAUACUGGAUAUAAAAUAAAUAAAAAAUGAGGCCCAUCCUUGAGGGAGGCCCAGCUCGUUUGAGCUGUUUGCACCCCCUCAGAAACGCCCCUGCCUUCAAGCAUAUGUAUCACAUUUCUCAUGGUUGGUCUAAGAUAUGGAUCCUCUUGAACACACCAAAUAGCAAUCUUUACCAAUUUCUCCAAAUUUUCCUUGUCCUUCAAUGCCUCAUUGUCACCCUCAACCAAGGGAUCUAGAAUACCUUCUUUGUAGCAGUCAUAAGCCCAUUCAGUUAAGAUAGCUUUGUAUUCAUUUUCUUGAUCCAUUUCUUCAACACAUCUUCUACAUGAAAUUAUGUGAAAAAAAGAUGUUUUUUAAACUUUCAAUAAAUUGAAUACACAAUUUCUAAGAUAAAGUUGUUACUUUAAGCUUCUUAUCAAGUGCUCUUAGAUAGGUAGGGGAGCCAGUAAUUUUGAAUAGUGGAGGCACCAUUACACGAAAUUUGUUAGGAGGAAAAGUAUGCGUGUUUGAUUUUAUGGUUGCAUGAAACAAGGAGGAAGAGUUUUCAUUUUUCUCAUUGAGAAAGAGAUAAUCAUAGGUGGAUUUAAAAAUAAAAUCUCACAAAAAUGGAUGUGAUAUGAAUAUUGCUCCCACUUUUAAAUAUUUAUCCAUGUCAUCUCUCAACCGAUGUGAGACAUUUUAACAUAUAGUGAGACGGGGUGUAAUAAAAACUACUUAUUUUAACUUAAAAAUAAAUAAAUAUAUGAGAGAGUGUAACAUGAUUUGUUUGUGUGGAUAAAUUGCCGGCAAAAUAAAGUGAAUAAGUUGAGUGCAAAAUCUAUAUGGGGUAUAUUCCAAUUCAUAUAUUUAAUUUGCCUGCAAAAUCUAAUAGUGGUAUAUUACAAGUAUGGUGUGUGGCUCCGUCACUACUCUUAGGGCACUUAGUAGCAUUUUCCUUAAUUUUAUUAUAAAAUAAUUAUAAAGUAAUGUUCAUUAUAAAGUAUUAGGGUGUGUUUGUUUCAAGUUUAUCAAAUUUAUUCAUAGGAAUAACAUUCCUUGAAAUAUAAAGAUGGGAAUUUUAUUCGAAGGAAUUUAGAAAAAAUAUGUUUGGUUAUCUUUAUAAUAUUCCUAGGAAUCAUAAAAAUAGGGAUUAUAAUAGGUAAACUAUUUAUGAAUUUAUUCUCAUCUCCAUGGGAACUUUAUUCCCACCCUUUUCUUUGGAAAUUUUUUUCUAUUCCCAGGAACAUUUUAUACCCGGGAAUAAAAUUUAGUAAACUUGUAACAAACAUAGGCAUAUACAUUCCUAUCAUUUUAUUCCCGGGAAUCAACAAUUAUAACUUGAAACAAACGCACAGUGAAAUAUUUGAAAUGUAAUUUCUUAUUUUGAAACUUUAUGUUUAAUAUUCAUUUUUUCAAGGAUGUAUAAUAUUUUUUAUAGUCUCGUUUACUUGCAAAUGUUAUACCUCACUAAACUUAUACUACACAACUUUUUUUUUUUGAGAGGGUUAUACUACACAACUUAACAACAAUAAAAAUAUCGUGAGAAUCGGUUUUUCUAUCUCUGUAAAUUUAUGGACCCUAAUUCAAUUGAAAACGACUGUCAUGUAAGCACUCGGAUCUAUGCUUAUUUUCAUCUCCUCAAAUUAAAAAAUGAAUGACCAAAAUAAAUAUUAUGUAAAAAGUAAAGGAAAAUAUGCAUAUUUUACACAACUCCAAAAAAUACCAACCCGGGUAACUCAAAUCAUUGGGAGCACUCAUGAUCUCAUCAAUUAAAAACGGCUAAUAUCAAUCGUUGAUUAAAUAAAUCAAUAGUUGAUAUUAUGGACACAUGUAUAACAAUCUUGAGUAGUUUUUUUUUUUUUUUGAAGGAGCAACUCUUCUUUUUUUUUUUGAGAGCAAAAAGGAGCAACUCUUGAGUAGUUAUAAGUUGUUAUAAUAUUAAUUUUUAAUCUUUUUUUUUACUUUACAAAUUACUCAAUUCAUAGUUCCCUAAAAUAUACCGUGUUGUGUCAUUUAUUUUGCUUAGUUAGAUAUUAAAUUAACUUUAUCCAAAACAAAACAACAAUGGAAUAAGGUUUGUUCAUACAAAGACAUAACUUAUUUAGAGAACAAUUAAUACUAAUUUGAGACAGUUAUGGUGGAACCAUGGGAGGCAUUAUCUCUUCUCACUUUUAAGAAAGCCUUAGAACCAUUAACAGUUGUUGUGAAUUGGGACUCAAAUCUCACACCAAUAAAUAAUGAUGUGUGGAGUAAAGAAAAGUAGUAACCACAAUCAAAGCAAGCAAUCACAAGCAACAACAAUAAUAACAACACCUAGAUCUAAUCUAGAAAUUAAAGUGAAAAGCUCAAAACCACAAGCAUAAGAAAGCAAGAAAGAAAACAACAAACACACCAAAGAUUAGUAACCCAAUUCGGUCUAAUAUAACCUCCUCUGGAGGAGAGAGCACCUCUCCAAUCCACUAAGAUGAAAGUGAUACAAAUGAGUUACAAGAAAUUAGCAUAAGAGCUCACAAAGAACAAAACUUAAUUUCUACCCAUUUUUCAUGUCACUUACACUCUCAAUGAAUCCUAAGAGAAAGCACAAAAGGAAGCUUUUUGAUCUUUCCAAUGGUGAAAUCUCACUACCCAAGAUGUUUACAAUGUUUCCCAACUCAAGAGAACCCCACUACAAAGACACUCAACCCUAAAGUUCUCUCCUUUAUAGUCCCAAGUUUCUCUCUCUUCAAGCUCUCUUUCAAAAUCUGCAUAGAAACACUUAUAUAGUACUCUGCAGCUAUCAAAAUUGUGUCACGAUUGCCAAAUUCGUGUCACGAUUGAUGCAUACGACCCAAUGUACGACCAACCUUAUCUUGAAAACGUGUCAAACAUGCCAAAAAUCGUGUCACAAUUGAACAUCAAACAAAACCAUGCUCACGGUCUAGAAAAUCGUGACACGCCUACCAAAUCAUGUCACGAUUCUGAACUUUCUCAGAAUCACAAUUUCAAGGCAAUUUCAACAAGUUGCAUAAACUCUCCCGUUUGUGAGUGGUAAAGUUUAAUUCCGGCUUGCAGGUGCUAGAUGGAUCACCAAGAAUAUUUUGUUUUCAUUUAGUAAAGUUAAAUUCUAACUCAAAAGAAUCUCAGAAAAUCAAUGCUAAUGUGAGUAUUUGGAGAGACUAAAAACUUACUCGUACCGAAUCUAUGUAACCAAAUUCCUCUCUUUUUACUAUGUUUCAACUUUCUAAUUUUAACUAUCUUAGAUUAUAGUUUUACAGGGUUCAAAUUUGAUGCAAUCACAUUACUAGAGUAAUAAUGUGCUGAUUCCACUUUGCCAUUCGUAGUGAAAUUAAGAAACAAAGGUUUUUUUUUUUUUUUUUUUGACAAAAUUUUAAGAAACAGUUAAAACAACAUAUAUCCGUAAAAGGGACAAACCGGAAACCAAUGCGCCGUGAGCCAUCUUGCCUUCUUGCUGCCACUCCUGCUGCCUCUGGAUGUCGCCGUUCCAACGCUGCCAACAGCCGUCCAUCCCCUACACCACUGGCUAUCUUCACCACUUUGUCCUUUUAAACGACCAUAGAUUGGCAGCGAGAUGGUAGAAUGGGUCACAACGUUGGGGUUGCUGAUGUGGUGGUGUUUCUGACUCAGGUUGGGGAGCAUGCCCUAAUGCUACACGCUCCACAAUAUACAUCCCGAGAACAUCACCGCAUCCAGGUUGAUUCAAUGACUUGCACAACAAGCUUGAAAUACUUGACAUCUAUUUCCAGCUUGAAUUAGAAGUAGUUGAUGUACAAGUUAGCCUAGGAGUAGUUGCUAACUUACUGUUUCUCAAUACAGUUUUAGGAAUUAGUUAUAAUUAGAUAUAAGCUCGUGCGUUGCGCAAAUAUCUUGA